GUCAGCAUGGCUUAGUGGCUUGAGCGUUGGGCUAUGAUUCUGGAGACCCGGGUUCGAAUCCUUGCUCAGCCA
Phrynosoma platyrhinos (Desert horned lizard) is the source of this 72-nucleotide non-coding RNA. Lineage: Eukaryota; Metazoa; Chordata; Lepidosauria; Squamata; Phrynosomatidae. The record is from the annotation of a GenBank genome assembly.